RNAcentral lists this long non-coding RNA (1712 nucleotides) under Pectinophora gossypiella (pink bollworm). Its description in RNAcentral is "uncharacterized LOC126378571". Lineage: Eukaryota; Metazoa; Arthropoda; Insecta; Lepidoptera; Gelechiidae. The record is from RNAcentral.
CUCCGUACACGGCUAUCAUGGAUUUACCACGGAUUAGUCACCACGAGGUAAAUGCUUCGUGAUUUUUCCCUAUAUUGUUCUGCGUAUAUUAGUUAAACAAAAUGGUUGGCAAUUUUUAUUCCUCUCUGCGGACAGCUGUACAGAGACGCAUUCUUGGAUAAAAAAAAAUACAUAAAAUCAGAAAUAUAUAUAUAGUUAAUAAGCGUCAUUGGAAGACACCACGUCAUACCGGAUUACCAUAACACAUACAAGUCCAUACAAGAUCAAGAAUGCCACGAUACGUUGUAUUGGCAUUUUUUAUUUUGACCGUAUUCAACAUUGCCAGUUUGGCACUUUCGACUUCGGACACCAGAGGGUCGACUAUGGGUGCCAGAGUCUUGGCACCUAUCGCCAGAUUCACCUCAGAUGCCAAUGCCAGUCACUACCCAAUGACAGACGACGAAGCUUUGUUACUCCUGUACCAGGUCGUCUUGAGACCUUUCAUGGAUUUGAGCAGCAAUGACUUCGGAGACAACGGCAUCUUCGGGGCGGUGAUAUGUCCAGAAGAUAUGCCCUAUAACUGGAUCACCAAGUCUUGCAAUGAAGUCGCAACUACGGUGGAGACUCCUCAAGAACUCGAUUAAGGUUCACAUUGGCCCCGAUUUCCGCAGACACCUCCUAACUUUACUUUAAAUUACACCUGUCAUUUUCUUAUCCACCGAAAAUGAAAGGGACGCAUGAUUGACAGCUCUUAAUUUUGGGACGAAUGGGUAAACGAAUGAAUAACCCGGACGAGUCAAAAAGGUAUCUCGCUGGUAUGCAAACCGUUUGACGUGUGCUGUCAACAUAAUUCUGUCGGGUUAUUGGCCAAUGUAAAAUUUUUAGACGGUUAUUUGUGAUUUGUGCUUAAAAUUGACGUGUGUUCCAUAAAUUUUAUGCUUGUCGAUUACCCGUCCUUUUCCUUUUCGUCGGAUAAGAAAAUGACACAUAUAUCUUAAAAAAAAAAUUAGAUGGUGUUUACAGGAAUUAACACCAUUAUUCGUAUAAGUGUAGUCACUGUGGCACAGUUCGAACCCCGGCACCGGACUUAUUGAGUUAUUAAUUUAUCUUAAGCGCAGUUUUCACUGACACAGUUGCCUCGAGCAUUACAGACGGCGAUACAGCUCACCUAUCACGUUGGUCUAACAGAAAGCUCGGUGAGGCGUGGAUGCUUAAUCUUCUUGCGAUGGAUGUGCGUCUGACUACCCCAUUAUGUGAGCUUAUGUUGUUCGUGUAAGUCUGGCGAUAAAGCUACACACACAGGCGAUACGGCGGACAAUGCGAGAACUUCUAUGAAAACAUCAUGGGUCCGUUUACCUAACCUGAAGAUUUGUCAGGUCCGGUCUUUUACAGAAGCGACUGAUUGUCUGGCCUUCCAACCAGCCCAAUACAGGUUACAUCACAUACGUCCGGAACGCAUUUCACGGGAAUGUAGGUUUCCUCGCGAUGUUUUCCUUCACCGCUGAGCAUGAUUAUCAUUCAUGAUCUGAACAUGGAUUCGAAUAUCAAAGAUAAGAUACCUAAGUGUGCCUAACAAGAGCUGCGGGUUCAAAUCCCAUCAGAGUCAGAAAUGUUUUCAAUUUAAUUUUCUGUUGGUGAGUUUCCCUAAGCAAGAGUGAGUGCUAUAAAAACAAAAAAUAUCUAAGUGUAGUUUUUGUUAUGAUAAAGAUACGCAAUAAAUUACAUUAAAAUUG